RNAcentral lists this long non-coding RNA (4278 nucleotides) under Homo sapiens (human). Its description in RNAcentral is "HSALNT0323016". Lineage: Eukaryota; Metazoa; Chordata; Mammalia; Primates; Hominidae. The record is from RNAcentral.
AGUACUGAUAAGGAGCCAAUUAUUUUUAAUAGAAUAUAUACCUACUAAACUUAACUUCUCAAACUCUAGGCAUUUACAGAUCCAUUUGUAUACGUCUCCUGGUCCAGAAAGUCUGACCCUUUGUCCCCAAACUUGAGUGAACCCUAUGUGUUCUCACAGCACCAGGGACUUACUCUAGUGUAGCAGGACUUUUGGUACUUACAUGUUUCUCCUAGACCAUGUGUUACCUGUAGGACUAUGUCUCAUUCAUUUCAGUGUCCUCAGCACCUUAAGCCAUGCCUAAGAAAUAUUUAUUGAAUGAACAUUUGAAUGACUCUUUCAAAACUGAUUAUUUUUGGGAAUAUAUAUUUCCAUGUUCCCUGAUACUAUGGAUUUGGGCAAAAUGAACUAUAAUGAAAUCCAUCCUACUGAUUUGUUUAUUUCUACAAUCGCUGCUCCCAAUGUGACUUUCUGGGCCAAGAUCACAUGAUCUUCUGACUGGCCUGCUACACACCCAGGUGAACAGCAACGAUGUAGAAGUUCCCUCCCUAACAAAUGGAGGAGCUUGGAGGUGUAGCAAGUCAAGGCCAUGUAUAUAACUCCUCAGUAUUAAAUUUCAAUGUAACCAGGAGUUUCCAUUAUUUUAUGUUCUUGGAAUUGGGGUCAUUUUUGCAAUAUGCUUUAAAAUAAAGUGGUGUAUUAUAACGAAGAUUUUGAACCAAAACUCAAACAGCCUUUCAUUCAAAAGGGCUGGAAUACAGCCCCAUCUUCUACAGAGGUAUAGAAUUCAGGGGCCAUUGAGUCAGCACAGAAAUGUCCACAUUCUCUCUAAUGUUCUUUUUCAUUUUCAAAAUCUCAAUGCUGAAAAACUUGCACACUGGCAGAACUUCUGCAGAGCAAGACUCAGAUAACCCAUCCUUGUUAAUAUGACUCAUAUUUGCCCAUUUCUCACUAAUAUGACUCAUGCUAAAAUGGGCCAUUAAUAAUACUCCCUGAAAAGCAAAUUUAAAGGUGACUACAUUUUAGAUUAUAUAUGCACACAUGUACAACAAUCCCUAAGGGCUUUUAAAGGUGGAGAGAGAAAACAUUUCCAUUUGCAAAUGGCAGAAGGGGCUCUGUUCCAACAUUUGAAAAAUAAAUCAUAUUUAAAACUAGGGCCAGACUUGGAAAAUUGCUACAAAGAAUGAGUUUUUUGGGAAAGGUAUCACACUGAAAAAACCACUACAGAAAUCCAUAUGGGGUAUCUUUGUGUUUCUUCCCUUAAGAUUUUAAGGCUUAUGUAUUGGAGUAAAGGCUCCUAUUACUUUUGAGAUGCAUUUGGUCCUGGUUUUACUUUCAGGAUUGAAUAAGUGGAAACUGUCCAGAUUAAACAGAAUUGAAUCAUAGGUACUGGACACCGAGGUAUGACUGACUAAAUUAAGUGGGCUUUAGGCAAAAGACAGAUGGUUUAACCAUCUCAUAAUGCCAGAGCUUUGAACUAACUGGGUACAUAGCGAUGACAUUAUUAAAUUGAUACUGUACUAUAAAAUAAAGAUAAAUGAUACCCUUUUUUGUAUUUAGGAAGAAUUAAAAUACUGAUGAUUGGCCAACCUAAGCCUAACUUUGGUAUCCAUAGCAAAAGUAGUGUCCAUACAUGUUCAGGCAACACAGGUUGAUUUGUUCAGGGGUCUCGAUGCCAGCAUUUUUCAGCACAUUGAGGCUUUCCUUAAUGGUUACUGGAGUUCACAUAGAAUGCUGGUUUCCAGGCUCAGGCUGUCUGGUACCUAUCAUAUGAAGAUCCCUCAGCCAAUGGAUAGCUAUUUGGGAUAGAACCCAUUGGUGGAGGAGCCCAUGGUCCAAGAACAAAUGUCCAAAUUUUGGUCCCUGCUUUUGUAAUCCAAGGUGUCUUGCUGCCUGUGGCUGUAUCUUCUUCUAAAGACUGAAGCUGAGAAGAAGGCUUGGUUUCCUCCCUUGGCUGCCCCCAAGACUACUGUUGCCACAGCACUCAGUGCCAACUGGACAAAGGAAUUCUUGAGAUAGCCUUCAAGUGCUUCUUAGGACUGCAGUGCCUAGACAAGCUGACUCUGACCAGUGGUUUCAGGCUCAGCUAUACGUAGGCCUCAGCAGCUUGUAACAGUUUCCAUCUCCAGGCCACACCCCAGGAAGAAAUGGUGAAGGCAGACAGCUUUGUAGAUUUAGAAGGGUGCUUCUUUCUUCCCUUUCUAUUGGUUUUCCCCAGAGAAGACUACGUGUGGAUAUCUACUAUAAAACAUGUGUGCAUGGAAAAUUGUAGGGCCAGAUGCUUCUGGAUUAAGAGAACAUGACCAGAUCUGGAGAAGGAGCAGCUGGGAGGAGGAGCCUGACUUUCUUAGCAAAACCAGUUCCUUUGCUUUCCCAUGUGGUUGGCCUCAGCCUUGUCUUUUAAGUUAAGUGAUGGGGCUAAAAAAAGUAAUGAGCCCCAGGAAGACCUGGGGUCCAGUCCCUGAUCUGCCACUUCAUUGCCUCACAACCUUGGGGAAGUCAUUUAUCCUCUCUGAGCCUCAGUUUCCUCAUUUGCAAAUUUCAAAUAACCAUCCUUCUGUAACUGACAAGGUUGUUGUAAGACUAUAAAGCACAUGUUAUUUUAUUUGUGUCUAUAUAAGGAAUAAUUAUUAUUGAGCUGCAUCAUAUGAAACUUCAAUUUUUGAAAGUCAAAAACAGUCAAACGUUGGUAAUUUUAAAUCAUUUGCUACUAUUUCAAGUAAAAGGAAACCCUGCAGAUGGUGCUUAUGCCAGAGGAGAGAAUAUUAUCCAGGGGGCAAUGGAAAGCUUCUGAAUGAGUUGUAUAAAUUGUUACAGGACUAUAAUAGAGAGAAAGAAUAGGCUUAAGUAUUAUCUUAGACAUGCACAGACAUUCCCAUGAUGGCUGAAUGUUCCCAUUUUAGCUGGAUGCUUAGUUUUGCACAAUUGUAGAGAAAAUCAACAAAAUAGUUUGUCAUCUCUUUUAACGUUCUGGGGUAGCCUCGAUGAAAACCUAGAGCAGUCGUUCUUGACCUUGUCUGUAAGUUAGGAAACACUGGGAAGCUUUAAAAAAAUCUUAACCCCCCAUAUCCAGAUCAAUUAGAUGACCAUUUCUGGGUGUUGGGGGCUGAAUUUCACCCUCUCAAAAUUCAUACACUGAUGUCCUAAUCCCCUGUACUUCAACAUGCCAACCAAAACCUGCCAGCACCUUAAUCUUGGACUUUCAGCCUCCAGAACUGUGAGAAAAUAAAUUUCUGAUUUUUAAGCCACCUAUUCUGUGGUAUUUUGUUAUGGUAUUCCUAGCAAAUUAAUACAGAUUUGCAGAAUGGGAUGUGACAUCAGGAAUUUUUCAGGCAUCCCAUGUGAUUUUAAGGGGCAGCCAAGAUUGAGAACCACAAGCCUAGCAGAAGAGAAAGAGGCCCAGGGUCAAGAUGAGUGAACAUGGGGAAAAAUCAUGAAUGCUGUCAGUUACUUUCUAAAUACUGGUUAUCAUUAUCUUUCAUCCCUAGUGUGGCACCAUCAGUCACAAAAUCUCUUAAGUUUCCACUUACGUCUAGUUACAAUAUGCAGUUAGCUAAUGUACCACCCAGAAAACACCACAGGGUAACAGUCUGUGCCGUGAGAUAGUGACCUUUUAAAGGCACUUGAUGGGUAUGUGGGUUGGGUUCUCUCCCUCUGCCAGCAUUUCUACAGCUACUCCAAAGAGCAGUGAAUGCCUCAGAAAAGGGUCUCAUCCAAAUCCCAAGGGUGCCCCCUGCUGGAAAAGGUGUAGAAAUCAGCCCACAGAGCCCAGUAAAUACUGCUCAAGUUCAGUUUCUUUGAGAGGGAUUCUCAGAAUGUCAGUGCUGGAAGUUACCAUAGAUGGAAUGAAUCUCCCUCAUUUAUCAAAUGACGAAGAUGAAAUCCAUAUCAGGUAAGCAACUUGAAUAAAAUUACGUGGCUCUUAGUCUCUCUAUUGGAAGCUGAGCUCAGGAGACAGGAAUGAUUUCUAGAAGCUCAUUUAAACAAACAAGCAAAAAAACAAACUUGUUCCCCUGAAGAUAUGGGAAGAAAAAUGAAAAGAAUACAAGUGCUUAGUUGUGGUUUAUACAGCUCCAAAUCUAAAAUAGCUGUUUAAUAUUCUAUAUAAUUAACAGACUUUGAACUUACGGCAUAUAGAUAAAAGAGUGACUUCAUCAUCAGUCUAAAAUAGGAUUUGCAUAGAUAUAAAAUAAAAUAUGCUUUAUGAGAUUAAUCUAUUAAUCUGUUAUAUGAGAUUAAUCUAUAAUAAAAAUGCAUCUCAAAUUGGUUAGCCUAUGUUGAAGUACUUUGAAAAGUAUA